Molecule: small nuclear RNA, 194 nt
Rfam family: U2 spliceosomal RNA
About the family: U2 is a small nuclear RNA (snRNA) component of the spliceosome (involved in pre-mRNA splicing). Complementary binding between U2 snRNA (in an area lying towards the 5' end but 3' to hairpin I) and the branchpoint sequence (BPS) of the intron results the bulging out of an unpaired adenosine, on the BPS, which initiates a nucleophilic attack at the intronic 5' splice site, thus starting the first of two transesterification reactions that mediate splicing.
UCACCACUCUGGCCUCAUGGCUUAGAUCAAGUGUAGUAUCUGUUCUUAAUAGUUUAACCACUAUUAUUGAGGGCACGCCCUCUAUAACUGGUUAUCUUAUUUUUGCCUCCCCGGGUACCUUAGGGCUCUGCUUGCAUCCCUUUGGACGAAGAUGACCUCGCUGCAGCACUACUGGCAUGUGUCGUCAGGGGAUC